RNAcentral lists this ribosomal RNA (464 nucleotides) under uncultured bacterium. RNAcentral's name for it is "partial 16S ribosomal RNA". It matches the Rfam family "Bacterial small subunit ribosomal RNA", at positions 339 to 795 of the family's 1533-position model. The record is from RNAcentral.
CUACGGGUCGCAGCAGUAGGGAAUCUUCCACAAUGGGCGAAAGCCUGAUGGAGCAACGCCGCGUGAGUGAAGAAGGUUUUCGGAUCGUAAAACUCUGUUGUAAGGGAAGAACAAGUACAGUAGUAACUGGCUGUACCUUGACGGUACCUUAUUAGAAAGCCACGGCUAACUACGUGCCAGCAGCCGCGGUAAUACGUAGGUGGCAAGCGUUGUCCGGAAUUAUUGGGCGUAAAGCGCGCGCAGGCGGUCCUUUAAGUCUGAUGUGAAAGCCCACGGCUCAACCGUGGAGGGUCAUUGGAAACUGGGGGACUUGAGUGCAGAAGAGGAAAGUGGAAUUCCAAGUGUAGCGGUGAAAUGCGUAGAGAUUUGGAGGAACACCAGUGGCGAAGGCGACUUUCUGGUCUGUAACUGACGCUGAGGCGCGAAAGCGUGGGGAGCAAACAGGAUUAGAUACCCUAGUAGUC